Mirounga angustirostris (Northern elephant seal) is the source of this 7409-nucleotide RNA transcript. It is a transcript of the gene named transmembrane and coiled-coil domains 3, with no coding region annotated. NCBI's taxonomy places the organism in Eukaryota, Metazoa, Chordata, Mammalia, Carnivora, Phocidae. The transcript is spliced from 16 exons. The record is from RefSeq and is a predicted model, not a curated record.
CCCGAGGGCCGACGGGAACGCAGGCCCCGCCCCCCAAGGGGCACGCACCUCUCUGGGCCGCGUCCGCGGCGACGGCGCUCCGGAGGGGGUGACGGACGGCUAGGCCCCUCCCCGCGCCCGGCCGCGUCCGGGCCCCCGCCUGGGAAGGGAUGCGGUAAGGCGCGACCCUGUCGGCUGCUGGACUCCGAGCGCUGGAGAGCGGGGCCAGGGCGCACGUGUGCCGCGCCGCGUCCAGAAGAAGCUAAAUGACCGGUAUUGGUUGCUAACUUUAUUCCUGCAUGCCCACACUGCUUGCCCUGGGAUCUCCUGCACACGGCACCAGGCACUGCAUUUGGUACCAGCUGAAAAUGUGUAUCUAAAAUGCAAGCUCACCUUAGCAGAAGCCUUUGGACAGCAUUGCCCUGUCCUCUAAAAUUGGAUCAUGAAGGUAUUGGAAAAAAAUUACUUUUGGAUGUUGCUUCCACUGCUUCGUUUGAUAGCCGAUGCUGCGGAACAUGAAGAGGUAGCAAAACAUGCCAUAAAGUUACACCGAGGCAGAGGGGCAGCCAUCACUCAGAGGAAGCAGUGGGUCCUCGAUAGUUGCAGAAAGCUCUCUGGGCUGCUUCGCCAAAAGACUGUGGUUCUUAACAAACUGAAAAGUGCAAUCAGAGCAGUGGAAAAAGACGUUAGCCUGUCAGAUGAAGAGAAACUAUUUCAGGUGCACACAUUUGAAAUUUUCCAAAAAGAGCUGAAUGAAAGUGAAAACUCAGUGUUCCAGGCGAUCUAUGGCCUCCAGAGAGCCCUGCAGGGAGACUACAGAGAUGUUGUGAACAUGAAGGAAAGCAGUAGGCAGCGUCUGGAGGCCCUGAGAGAGGCUGCGAUAAAGGAAGAGACAGAAUAUGUGGAACUUCUGGCAGCAGAAAAACAUCAAGUUGAAGCUCUCAAAAAUAUGCAACAUCAAAACAAAAGUUUAUCCAUACUUGAUGAAAUUCUUGAAGAUGUGAGAAAGGCAGCCGAUCGUCUAGAGGAAGAAAUAGAAGAACAUGCUUUUGAUGACAAUAAAUCAGUGAAAGGGGUCAAUUUUGAGGCAGUUCUCAGAGUAGAAGAAGAAGAGGCCAAUUCCAAGCAAAACCUUACGAAGCGGGAAGUGGAAGAUGAUUUGGGUCUUAGCAUGCUCAUCGAUUCCCAGAACAACCGAUACAUCUUGACCAAGCCUCGAGAUGCCACGAUUCCACGCGCAGAUCACCACUUCCUAAAGGACAUUGUUACCAUAGGAAUGCUGUCUUUACCUUGUGGCUGGCUGUGCACAACAAUAGGAUUGCCUACGAUGUUUGGUUAUAUCAUCUGUGGAGUACUUCUGGGGCCUUCAGGACUAAACAGUAUUAAGUCUGUUGUGCAGGUGGAGACCUUGGGAGAGGUUGGUGUGUUCUUUACUCUGUUCCUCGUUGGCCUGGAGUUCUCCCCAGAAAGGCUGAGAAAGGUGUGGAAGAUAGCCUUACAAGGACCGUGUUAUAUGACGCUGUUAAUGAUCGCAUUUGGCUUGUUAUGGGGACACCUUUUACAGAUCAGACCCACUCAGAGCGUCUUUAUUUCUACUUGCUUGUCCUUAUCGAGCACACCCUUGGUGUCCAGAUUCCUCGUGGGCAGCGCCCGGGGUGAAAAAGAAGCAGGUGACAUCGACUACAGCGCGGUGCUGCUUGGGAUGCUCGUCGUGCAGGACGUGCAGCUGGGCUUGUUCAUAGCUGGCAUGCCCACCCUUAUCCAAGCUGCAGCCGGUACCUACUCCAGUGUUGUCAUGGAGACCCUGCGGAUCCUGGCUUUGGUCGGUCAGAUCCUCUUCUCACUAGCUGCUGCUUUUCUUCUGUGUCUUGUUAUAAAGACUUACCUCAUUGGACCAUAUUAUCGGAAACUGCACAUGGAAAGCAAAGGGAACAAAGAAAUCCUUAUCUUAGGAAUCUCUGCUUUCAUCUUUUUAAUGUUAAUGCCCCACAGCUGUGCUCCUCACCACGGGCCCCAGAGAAGUGAAGACUCGGGUUCCCACGGAAACUCACAUGGGAAUGUUCACAGCAGCUGUAUCCGUAGCAGCCAAAGACCACCUAGAUGUCCUUCAGCAGAUGCCUGGCUGCACCAGCUGUGGUCCGUCCACACCAGCGAAGACCACCCAGGUCUAAAACAACGGGCACAAGAAUCUCCAGAGAAUUAUCCUGAGCAGGAAAAGCCAGUCCCGAAGGUCGCAUACUGUGUCACGGAGCUGCUGGACAUCUCCAUGGAGCUGGGCUGCUUCCUGGCCGGAGCGCUCAUCUCUUCCCAAGGCCACAUGGUCACUGAGGAGGUCGUGUCUUACAUCGAGCCCAUCCGUGACUUCCUGGUUAUCAUCUUCUUCGCAUCCAUAGGCCUUCACGUGUUCCCCACUUUCGUGGUGUAUGAGCUCACCAUCUUGAUGGUCCUCACGCUGUCGGUGGUGAUCAUGAAGGGUGUCCGGCGAGGGCUCGCGUCUGUUUUCUGCUCGGCCGGCAGGCUCGGGCGAGGCAGUAACGGGUCACUCUCGCAGUUUGCUCUGGCAGCUCUGGUCUUGUCCCUCCUCCUGCCGAAGAGCAGUCAGUACGUCAAGUGGAUCGUGGCCGCGGGGCUGGCGCAGGUCAGCGAGCUCUCUUUUGUCCUGGGGAGCAGAGCGCGCAGAGCUGGUAUCAUUUCUCGGGAGGUGUACCUCCUCAUCCUGAGUGUGACCACACUCAGCCUCUUGCUGGCCCCGGUGCUGUGGAGAGCUGCCAUCACGAGGUGUGCGCCUCGGCCAGAGAGACGGUCGAGUCUCUGAGGGCAGCGACAGGGACACGCGGCUUCAGAAGCGAGAUCCCUCGCCUCGGGGACAAAGCGCUCCGUGGGAGGGGCUCCCCGUGUACCCAGCGUGCCGACUUCCUGCCGUAGCUUGGGGUCUUCCAGAGUAAUUUAUUGCAUUCAGUUGAUCAUGCACAGUAUAAGUAUAACGCUGCAUUUUACAGAUCACCUUGACUGUUUUGCCUGGAUGUGCCUUUUUUUCUGAAAUUGUUAACUUUCUAUUGUUACUUCAUCGGUUCAUGAUUUUUUGGUAAAAAAAAAAUCAGAAAGGUUUUUUAUUUAUUCAACUUUUGUGUUGUAAUCUGUUGGUCAAUAUUUGUUAUUAAACAUUUCUGUGAUAUGAAAUUUUAAUUCUGGCAGUGAGUUUGGAAAGUUACUUUAGUCCUUACUGUUUUCUAAAAUGACAAAUAUCUUCUAAAUGUCUAUUUGUUUUUAUUACAAUAAUUUUAAAUAAAACAUUCAUGUCAGUUUAUUAAAUGUCAUUUAAAAUAUUUGCUUUGAAUCACAAGAAUAUGCAUGCUUUAAUAAAGAUCAUUUAUGAUCGGAGAAAUUAAUUGAAAUUUAUUGGAAUUUUUCUUAGAUUUUCGUGUUAAACUAAUCUUUGACAGUUUUCAAAAGUUAGGAUGAUUUGUACCUUGCCACAUCAUUCUCUAAGAGACCAAAGCCUAAGCUGUAACUUUGAUUUUUAAAGUAUAUUUUGGUUCCUACAUGGUCCAUUUUGGAGAACCCAGGGCUGGAAGGUCUGAUCUUACAGAUUUCCCCGAGGGGCGCUGUGAGUGGAGUGUCCUGUCAAGAUGGGCGUUAGGAGCCUAGCAGUCUGACCAGAGCCCUCACGGCCGAGGGAAGGCCGCCUCGUGCACGACGACGUACCGCAGGUGUGACCGUGUGAUUAACACUCUGGGAGGAAGUAGCUGCCUCUGGUCCGCAGGAAAUUGGCAGAGAAGUGAUACAGCCCUGGUUUUAUUCAUUUCUCAGUCGGCGCAUCAGUGCCCUUCCCUCCAAACCGCUGGGUGUGGACGCGUGGGCAGGACGCUUUCUCUUACCCGUGCGUGUGCCCACCUUGCCCGGCAGGCGGAACCCGCUCGCGGCGGCCUCUGGGGUGCCUCUUCUUGUUCUUUCAUUUUGGAUCCCCAGCACCUGAGGGCAGAGCCAGGAGCUCGAGAAAUUGUGUUGAGCUGAAGGGGACCUAUUUGCGCUGACACAGUUGUCCCCAGAACAUGGAGGUAGCAUCGCUGUGAGAGAGUGCUGAGUCGAGACGCCAAGAGGACGCACCUCUGGAAGACCCCAGCCCCAGGACGAGGCCUCCUCACCUUCCGCUCACCUCUCAGGGACCACCAUCCACGCCCCUGCCACACAGUGAGGCCACAGAGCCCUCCACGGCCCUGUCCUCACUCUCCCCUCCUCAUCCAGGCUUGGGGAGCUCAGCUCUCUCCUCUCCGCCCCUGCAAGCCCCUGCCCCUGCGGCCAUCAGCGUUUCCUCUGUGGCCCAGUCCGGCUUCGAUCGCUGGCAGAGGAAAGCGUGCUUGCCGACCAGCCCUGCAGUGAUGUCCUCACCUGGAAUUUAAAACUUGGUGUCCGGUUUGAGUCUGUUCCUUGUGGAUUGACAUUUGAGACGCAGAGCUGAAGACAGAGGGGCGGGUGGGGGCGCCACCUGCUGACAGCAAGCGCCUCACCCGGUCCCCAACACCCGUUGUCACACCAGGAGCGCUCGCCGGACCCCCAGCUCCUCCCGCCUCUGGUCCCCACGCGCAUCGCACGCGUUCCAACCUGCUGGCGCCCUCGCAUGGCCCUCCCCCUUCCCGGGUCCGAGUGCUGCCCCUAAGCCUCUGGGAGGUAGGCCCCCGCAUCCUCGGUGUCCUGGCGUGCUGCUGGGCGUGGGGGGCAGGAUGGAGGCCUGAGCCCCACGUGGAAGAGCUUCAUUCGGCCUGAGGGAAGCCGGAGGACGUCCAGCACCGUCUGGCUGGAAGGUUGAGAGCCGCGGCUGUUGGAGCAGAUCUUCCGUGGGAGGCCGCGUCCGCGUGGGUGUGGUCGCCUCAGGAAACAGCGUUGCUGCUGGGACGCCCCCCCUCGAGGCCCCUCGCCCUGCCUCCCCGGCCCUUCAGAGCUCCCCGCCGGUGCCCGCUUCCUUCUCUGACGAGCCGUUAGGGGCGCGAACGCUUUCACAGAAGCGCUGCGUCCUGUGGUCUUCCACUCAACCGCGUGUUUCUGACUCAUCCUGGUGCCGAGCCUGAGGCAGACAUUCUCACCUUCUGUGACCAUCGCUUCCGUGAAGACGCUGCAAAGUGCUUCUGUCGCCACCUGUGUCCCAACACUGUCACCAUGGAACAGUUCGGAGGAAGAGGCAGGGGUUCCUCACGUGCGGCCUCGGGGUCUUUGACUCCUGCAGGUAGACACAGAAGCGUUCCUGGGCGCCCAGGGGUGUGUGCCAGGAGCUUCUCAAGCAGCACGUUAGCACCUACCUGGUGGCGGUCAGCCUUUGUCACCUCCUCCACAGGACACUCACGAGCCACAAAAGAUCCUCUGACGGCCUGUGUUGAGGCGCUAGUCCCAGGGCAGGGGUGACGUGGAGCGACCCGAAAGUGCCCGACCCACGGUGGGUGUGGCUGUGUCACAGACGGGUCUGGGGGGACGCCCAGUGGCGUCCACGAGUCCAGGAUGACUUGGGAGCUGUCCACCCAGCACGGCUCUGUCCAGACGGAGUCCGGGUCCCAUCGGUCGGGACUGGGGCCUGAACAUGAGUGUUUCUUUUUUUUUUUUUUUUAAGAUUUUAUUUAUUUAUUUGACACAGAGAGAGCGAGCACAAGUAGGCAGAACGGCAGGCAGAGGGAGAGGGAGAAGCAGACUCCCCGCUGAGUGGGGAGCCCGAUGCAGGGCUCAAUCCCAGGACCCUGGGACCAUGACCUGAGCCGAAGGCAGACGUUUAACCGACUGAGCCAGCCAGGCACCCCAACAUGAGUGUUUCUAACACAUUUCCAGGCAGGGCUGAUGCUGCUGGGCCGGGAGCACCUGGGAGAUGCAGCCGUCCAGCUCAUGGUGGCCCUAGCUGCACCUUUGCUGACUGGACACGUGAACCCAGAUGGUGAAGAUAAAGGCCUCCGAGCCAGGAACAGAGUCUGGAACAGAGCCGCCGCGGCACUGGGCUCCGUGGAUCACUGAGCAGCAUCUCUCCAACAGCAGACUCUGGUGGAGGAGGCGUCCCCUGGAGUGGAUCAUGGCCGUGGGAGCACAGCCACCCAGCCAGGAAAGUGCUGUUGCCGGGCCUCUGGUUCCAUCAUACACACGUGUGUCACAUGUGUGUGGUGGCCAGUCAGACUUUGAAACUGCUGGUGUAAGGGAAGAGGGUCCAGGAGGGCAGAAAGCAGGUGCUUCCUGGGGCUGGGGGGCCGUGGGGGCGCUCAGGAGACCCUAGCUUCCAGCAGCUUCGGCCCCGACCAGGCGCCAGGCGAGCACCACCGCGGGCGUCCAGAGCAGAGAGGGAGGCUGGCGUGCUUCCCAGGGAGCGCCCACGUGUCCGUCCGGACUGGGGUGCAGGCUGCACACGGGGGGCGUACCAGUUGUCCGGACGAAGCAAGCAACUGGAAUCUCUUUAAACGUAACCAGAUUAUUUCAUGAUUCAUGAAUAAAAUAAAGUGUGGAGAAAUGACCCAAGAACUUAGGUGUGCGCACAGGGGAGAGGAGGCGGGCGCCGGGAAAGAAGAGAGCGUUUACAAACAAAGGGGCAUCGUUAUUUCAAAAGGAGGAGUGUCUGAGAGGGAGAACAUCACAUCAAGCUGCGGGGCGGGUCCUGCAGCCGGUCCCUGGGGGAUGUCCCGUGGGAGGCGCUUUUAUGGACUUGCUGUUACCUCAUACCCGCUUUAGGGAUCAAAGUGUUGUCUUGGCAUGGAUCCCUCACAUGGGGGGUUGGACAACAUUUUGAGAUGUGUUUCCUCCCCUCAGUUACCUUUUCUUCCCUCAAAAUGGACUCAGGGUGGAUCAUAAUAGUCCAGAGGACAGAAGUAGCCUGCAAGUCUUCCUGAUGUUUUACAAAAGCCCUCCAAAAUUUGGAGGGUCCACCAAGAAGGUAAAAGGAAGGUGAAUUAGCACAUUAAGGUGGAGGUUGGGGAGCCGCCCCACGUGGGCUAGAGGACAGGAUCCAGCAGCCUCACGAAGGACCCCACAUGCCCGUGGAGUCAUGGCCAUGACCCUGCACAUCCUGGGUGGAGAGGAGAAAACCCCAAGAGCAAGAGGAAAGCCCCCAGGAGCCCAGCGGAUGGACAGAGGCUGAACAUAGGCCGGCUGUCCAAGGAUGCCGCCUCUCAGCCCUGGGACCACGCACCAGGCUCCUGCACGGGCAGUGGGCGGCUCCCUCGUCCACGCCGGUCUCGCCGCUCGGCCGGCUCCAGCGUGCGGUCUGCCCCGAGAACCAGGGCGGGCUGUACCCUUUCCAGGUUCACACACGCUUCCAAAUUCCUUUUGGUAGCCACCGUUUGCCCGCAAACCUUUACUUGAAAUGUGAAGAUUAGAGAAGGAAGGUGGACACAAACCCAGGAGGACUGAAAAGUGGAGGGUAAUCCAAAUGACAGUUUGGUGGUCGGCAAGUCGGCUAGAUGUCUGGC